CCUACGGGUGGCAGCAGUGGGGAAUAUUGGACAAUGGAGGCAACCCUGACCCAGCAACGCCGCGUGAGUGAUGAAGGUCUUCGGAAUGUAAAGCUCUGUGAGCGGGGAAGAAAACAAUGACGGUACCCCAAUAACAAGCCACGGCUAACUACGUGCCAGCAGCCGCGGUAAUACGUAGGGGGCAAGCGUUAUCCGGAAUGACUGGGUGUAAAGGGAGCGUAGGUGGUUUAGUAAGUCUGGAGUGAAAUGCCGGGGCUCAACCCCGGCACUGCCGGGGAAACUAUUAGACUUGAGUGCAGGAGAGGUAAGUGGAAUUCCUAGUGUAGCGGUGAAAUGCGUAGAUAUUAGGAGGAACAUCAGGGGCGAAGGCGGCUUACUGGACUGUAACUGACGCUGAGGCACGAAAGCGUGGGGAGCAAACAGGAUUAGAUACCCUAGUAGUC
This 443-nucleotide ribosomal RNA is filed under the name uncultured bacterium. Its description in RNAcentral is "partial 16S ribosomal RNA". It matches the Rfam family "Bacterial small subunit ribosomal RNA", at positions 338 to 795 of the family's 1533-position model. The record is from RNAcentral.